GGGUUGUGAGGUUAAGCGAAUAAGCGUACACGGUGGAUGCCUAGGCAGUCAGAGGCGAUGAAGGACGUGCUAAUCUGCGAUAAGCGCCGGUAAGGUGAUAUGAACCGUUAUAACCGGCGAUUUCCGAAUGGGGAAACCCAGUGUGAUUCGUCACACUAUCAUUAACUGAAUCCAUAGGUUAAUGAGGCGAACCGGGGGAACUGAAACAUCUAAGUACCCCGAGGAAAAGAAAUCAACCGAGAUUCCCCCAGUAGCGGCGAGCGAACGGGGAGGAGCCCAGAGCCUGAAUCAGCAUGUGUGUUAGUGGAAGCGUCUGGAAAGGCGCGCGAUACAGGGUGACAGCCCCGUACACAAAAGCGCAUGUGCUGUGAGCUCGAUGAGUAGGGCGGGACACGUGGUAUCCUGUCUGAAUAUGGGGGGACCAUCCUCCAAGGCUAAAUACUCCUGACUGACCGAUAGUGAACCAGUACCGUGAGGGAAAGGCGAAAAGAACCCCGGCGAGGGGAGUGAAAAAGAACCUGAAACCGUGUACGUACAAGCAGUGGGAGCCCCACCACUAAGCCAGUGGUGAACUCCACAUCCGCAUCCUUUGCUGAGGAUACGGUUAACGGAGCGAAAGCGACGUUCAACCGCAAAACAAGCAGAGGGGGCUUAGUGGUGGGGUGACUGCGUACCUUUUGUAUAAUGGGUCAGCGACUUAUAUUCUGUAGCAAGGUUAACCGAAUAGGGGAGCCGGAGGGAAACCGAGUCUUAAUUGGGCGUUAAGUUGCAGGGUAUAGACCCGAAACCCGGUGAUCUAGCCAUGGGCAGGUUGAAGGUUGGGUAACACUAACUGGAGGACCGAACCGACUAAUGUUGAAAAAUUAGCGGAUGACCUGUGGCUGGGGGUGAAAGGCCAAUCAAACCGGGAGAUAGCUGGUUCUCCCCGAAAGCUAUUUAGGUAGCGCCUCGUGAAUUCAUCUCCGGGGGUAGAGCACUGUUUCGGCUAGGGGGCCAUCCCGGCUUACCAACCCGAUGCAAACUGCGAAUACCGGAGAAUGUUAUCACGGGAGACACACGGCGGGUGCUAACGUCCGUCGUGAAGAGGGAAACAACCCAGACCGCCAGCUAAGGUCCCAAAGUCAUGGUUAAGUGGGAAACGAUGUGGGAAGGCCCAGACAGCCAGGAUGUUGGCUUAGAAGCAGCCAUCAUUUAAAGAAAGCGUAAUAGCUCACUGGUCGAGUCGGCCUGCGCGGAAGAUGUAACGGGGCUAAACCAUGCACCGAAGCUGCGGCAGCGAACGUAUCACCCAAGACAACUUUACGGAGUUGACGAUUGACGGAGCGAAGCGACGUCAAAGCGUUCAUUAAAGUCGAGUUGGCUUAGGGAUACGUUCGUUGGGUAGGGGAGCGUUCUGUAAGCCUGUGAAGGUGUGUCGUGAGGCAUGCUGGAGGUAUCAGAAGUGCGAAUGCUGACAUAAGUAACGAUAAAGCGGGUGAAAAGCCCGCUCGCCGGAAGACCAAGGGUUCCUGUCCAACGUUAAUCGGGGCAGGGUGAGUCGACCCCUAAGGCGAGGCCGAAAGGCGUAGUCGAUGGGAAACGGGUUAAUAUUCCCGUACUUGGUGUUACUGCGAAGGGGGGACGGAGAAGGCUAUGUUGGCCGGGCGACGGUUGUCCCGGUUUAAGCGUGUAGGUGUGUGUUCCAGGUAAAUCCGGUUCACUUUAACACUGAGGCGUGACGACGAGGCACUACGGUGCUGAAGCAACAAAUGCCCUGCUUCCAGGAAAAGCCUCUAAGCAUCAGGUAACACGAAAUCGU
This 1798-nucleotide ribosomal RNA is filed under the name Salmonella enterica subsp. enterica. Its description in RNAcentral is "partial 23S ribosomal RNA". It matches the Rfam family "Bacterial large subunit ribosomal RNA", at positions 1 to 1645 of the family's 2925-position model. The record is from RNAcentral. Lineage: Bacteria; Pseudomonadati; Pseudomonadota; Gammaproteobacteria; Enterobacterales; Enterobacteriaceae.